RNAcentral lists this ribosomal RNA (753 nucleotides) under Triticum aestivum (bread wheat). RNAcentral describes it as "partial small subunit ribosomal RNA". The record is from RNAcentral. Lineage: Eukaryota; Viridiplantae; Streptophyta; Magnoliopsida; Poales; Poaceae.
AUGGCCACCUGCCUCUCUGACCUGAUUAGUGACCAUUCCUUAGACUUUGUUGGGCUGCAGGAGACUAUGAAAAAAAAGUUUUCCCCUAAAUGCAUUAGGAGGAUUGAUCCUUUUGGUCUGUUUCAUUGGGAAUGGAUCCCAUCUGCUGGGAAAUCUGGGGGUAUCCUGAGUGGUGUGAGACAUGAUACUUUUGAUGUUAUUUCCUGUAAUAAAGGCAAAUAUAUUUUGCAAAUGGUGAUACGUGACAAAAAGAUUAAGAAAGACUGGGGUCUCAUGGUAGUGUAUGGAUCUGCUCAUGAGGAGUUUAAGGAGGAAUUUUUAGUGGAACUUGCUGCAAUGUGCAGCAACAUGAGUGUCCCCUACAUUGUGGGAGGUGACUUUAAUAUUUUGCGUAACUGCAAUGAGAAAAAUAAGAAGAUGAAUAGUAGCAGAUCUACCUCUUUUAAUUCCAUCGUCAAUGCCCUGGCUCUUAGAGAGAUUUAUACUAGUGGGGGUAAAUAUACAUGGGCUAACAAUCAGGCGCACCCAACUCUGGAGAAACUAGACCGGAUUUUGAUGUCUAAAGAAUGGGAAAAUCUCUUCCCUAUGGUUUCGGUUAGGAAAUUAGUUCGCGAAAUUUCUGACCAUAACCCACUGCUGCUUUCUAGUGGGGAGGAAAGUAGAGAAGCUCCUAAACCUCGUGAGUUUCGUUUUAAUCUUGCCUAGAUUAAGGAUGAGAACUUCUUGCCUACUGUUAGUAGGAUCUGGGCUAGA